RNAcentral lists this ribosomal RNA (245 nucleotides) under uncultured bacterium. Its description in RNAcentral is "partial 16S ribosomal RNA". It matches the Rfam family "Bacterial small subunit ribosomal RNA", at positions 524 to 768 of the family's 1533-position model. The record is from RNAcentral.
UACGGAGGGUGCAAGCGUUAUUCGGAAUUACUGGGCGUAAAGGGCGUGCAGGCGGCUUUGCAAGUCUGAUGUGAAAGCCCGGGGCUUAACCCCGGAAGGGCAUUGGAAACUGCAGGGCUUGAGUACCGGAGAGGAAGGGAGAAUUCCCGGUGUAGAGGUGAAAUUCGUAGAGGUCGGGAGGAACACCAGUGGCGAAGGCGCCCUUCUGGACGGUUACUGACGCUGAGACGCGAAAGCGUGGGGAG